This 492-nucleotide ribosomal RNA is filed under the name uncultured bacterium. Its description in RNAcentral is "partial 16S ribosomal RNA". It matches the Rfam family "Bacterial small subunit ribosomal RNA", at positions 29 to 507 of the family's 1533-position model. The record is from RNAcentral.
AGUGAACGCUGGCGGUAGGCCUAACACAUGCAAGUCGAACGGCAGCACAGUAAGAGCUUGCUCUUACGGGUGGCGAGUGGCGGACGGGUGAGGAAUACAUCGGAAUCUACUUUUUCGUGGGGGAUAACGUAGGGAAACUUACGCUAAUACCGCAUACGACCUACGGGUGAAAGCAGGGGAUCUUCGGACCUUGCGCGAUGAAUUGAGCCGAUGUCGGUUUAGCUAGUUGGCGGGGUAAAGGCCCACCAAGGCGACGAUCCGUAGCUGGUCUGAGAGGAUGAUCAGCCACACUGGAACUGAGACACGGUCCAGACUCCUACGGGAGGCAGCAGUGGGGAAUAUUGGACAAUGGGCGCAAGCCUGAUCCAGCCAUACCGCGUGGGUGAAGAAGGCCUUCGGGUUGUAAAGCCCUUUUGUUGGGAAAGAAAAGCAGCAGGUUAAUACCCCGCUGUUCUGACGGUACCCAAAGAAUAAGCACCGGCUAACUUCGUG